CUCCACAGUGGAAGUCUGAGGGAAAUACAGGAGGAGGAAACAGAGGCAGUCAUUUUGAACAGCAGCUGCAGUGCAGUGACACUGUGCUGUCAGGUCGGAGAUUGGAAGUAUGAGCAGCUAAUCCUGCCGGGCGAACUGAAACACUGUGCCUUUCGGAGGACCAAGCCGCAUCGAGGCAUCUCGGUUGCAUACUAAUUGCACGACACUCAACCUCUGAGAGCGAGCGAGCCUGUCUAUGCAGAGAACUGUUUUUCACCGUCGCACAAUAAAGUGCACAAUCUCAGACAGACAUCCAGAAUUGCAGAGAUCCGCCGCCUUCCGUGGAGAACCGGCGAGGAUCAAAACAUGGACAAAAUAUGAUUGUUUGGGGACAAAAACUCCACAUGUUUUAACUCUGCAACGGCCCCCUUUUGGUUUUGCUUCCUAGUUAAAUGACAAAAACAGGGCCCUCACUCUCUCCCAUGGUGGACAUCACAGGAUUUUUCUGCUGCAGCUUUCAACAUCCUGUCUGCCCAGGAGAAAAGAUGAUCACAAAAAGUGAAAAUAGCAAAGCUACAUGUAAAAUAUUGCACCUCGGGUCUCUGGACAGGUUUAAAACAUGUUCUGGCAGAAAGAGCAAAGUUUGACAUUGAUGAAGCCAAAUCAGAGGCCUUGAAAGCACAAAAUCAGAUGUGUGAGAUUUAAAAAAUAAACACCUGAAGUAAGAACUGGAGGGGUGCUGAGCAUUCCACUGCUUUGUCCUUUUAUACCUUUGCAUUUUUGGUUGAUCUCUACACAUAUUUUUUUCAUUAAAAAAAUAAGCUCUCUCUC
Poecilia latipinna (sailfin molly) is the source of this 810-nucleotide long non-coding RNA. RefSeq lists it as uncharacterized. The record is from RefSeq and is a predicted model, not a curated record. NCBI's taxonomy places the organism in Eukaryota, Metazoa, Chordata, Actinopteri, Cyprinodontiformes, Poeciliidae. The transcript has 3 exons.